RNAcentral lists this transfer RNA (72 nucleotides) under Camelus bactrianus (Bactrian camel). It matches the Rfam family "tRNA". From Rfam's summary of the family: Transfer RNA (tRNA) molecules are approximately 80 nucleotides in length. RNAcentral also lists the same sequence under 2 other names. Lineage: Eukaryota; Metazoa; Chordata; Mammalia; Artiodactyla; Camelidae. The record is from Rfam by way of RNAcentral.
GAGGAUAUAGCUCAGUGGUAGAGCACGUGCUUAGCAUGAAUGAGGUCCUGGGUUUAGUCCCCAGUACCUCCA